AUUGAACGCUGGCGGCAGGCCUAACACAUGCAAGUCGAGCGGAAGAAGGGAGCUUGCUCCUGGUUUCAGGGGCGGAGGGGUGGGUAAUGCCUGGGAACAUCCGUGGUAGUGGGGGCGAAGGUGCGAACGCGGGCGCACAUACGGCAAACGCCCUGAGGGCGAAAGGGGGGGAGCUGCGGAUCUCCGGCUCUCGGACGAGCCAAGGUCGGAUUAGCUAGUUGGUGGGGUAAAGGCCCACCAAGGCGACGAUCCGUAACUGGUCUGAGAGGAUGAUCAGUCACACUGGAACUGAGACACGGUCCAGACUCCUACGGGAGGCAGCAGUGGGGAAUAUUGGACAAUGGGCGAAAGCCUGAUCCAGCCAUGCCGCGUGUGUGAAGAAGGUCUUCGGGUUGUAAAGCACUUUUAUUUGGGAAGAAGGGCAGCAAGUUAAUACCUUGCUGUUCUGACGUUACCAACAGAAUAAGCACCGGCUAACUUCGUG
Molecule: ribosomal RNA, 484 nt
Filed under: uncultured bacterium
Lineage: Bacteria
Description: partial 16S ribosomal RNA
Rfam family: Bacterial small subunit ribosomal RNA
Source: RNAcentral